CCUACGGGGGGCAGCAGUGGGGAAUAUUGGACAAUGGGGGCAACCCUGAUCCAGCCAUGCCGCGUGUGUGAAGAAGGCCCUCGGGUUGUAAAGCACUUUCAGUGAGGAAGAACGCCUGGUGGUUAAUACCCAUCAGGAAAGACAUCACUCACAGAAGAAGCACCGGCUAACUCCGUGCCAGCAGCCGCGGUAAUACGGAGGGUGCGAGCGUUAAUCGGAAUUACUGGGCGUAAAGCGCGCGUAGGUGGCUUGAUAAGCCGGUUGUGAAAGCCCCGGGCUCAACCUGGGAACGGCAUCCGGAACUGUCAAGCUAGAGUGAAGGAGAGGAAGGUAGAAUUCCCGGUGUAGCGGUGAAAUGCGUAGAGAUCGGGAGGAAUACCAGUGGCGAAGGCGGCCUUCUGGACUGACACUGACACUGAGGUGCGAAAGCGUGGGUAGCAAACAGGAUUAGCUACCCUGGUAGUC
RNAcentral lists this ribosomal RNA (465 nucleotides) under Vreelandella stevensii. RNAcentral describes it as "partial 16S ribosomal RNA". It matches the Rfam family "Bacterial small subunit ribosomal RNA", at positions 338 to 795 of the family's 1533-position model. Lineage: Bacteria; Pseudomonadati; Pseudomonadota; Gammaproteobacteria; Oceanospirillales; Halomonadaceae. The record is from RNAcentral.